RNAcentral lists this long non-coding RNA (1871 nucleotides) under Salmo salar (Atlantic salmon). RNAcentral describes it as "lncRNA (ENSSSAG00000104768.1)". The record is from RNAcentral. Lineage: Eukaryota; Metazoa; Chordata; Actinopteri; Salmoniformes; Salmonidae.
ACUGCUCUACUAGGGCUAACCCUAUGGGUCGUUCUGGAUCAGACUGCUCUACUAGGGCUAACCCUAUGGGUCGUUCUGGAUCAGACUGCUCUACUAGGGCUAACCCUAUGGGUCGUUCUGGAUCAGACUGCUCUGCUAGGGCUAACCCUAUGGGUCGUUCUGGAUCAGACUGCUCUACUAGGGCUAACACUAUUGGUCAUUCUGGAUCAGACUGCUCUGCUAGGGCUAACCCUAUGGGUCGUUCUGGACCAGACUGCUCUACUAGGGCUAACCCUAUGCCUAUGGGUCGUUCUGGAUCAGACUGCUCUACUAGGGCUAACCCUAUGGGUCGUUCUGGAUCAGACUGCUCUACUAGGGCUAACCCUAUGGGUCGUUCUGGAUCAGACUGCUCUACUAGGGCUAACCCUAUGGGUCGUUCUGGGUCAGACUGCUCUACUAGGGCUAACCCUAUGGGUCGUUCUGGAUCAGACUGCUCUACUAGGGCUAACCCUAUGGGUCGUUCUGGAUCAGACUGCUCUACUAGGGCUAAACCUAUGGGUCAUUCUGGAUCAGACUGCUCUACUAGGGCUAACCCUAUGGGUCGUUCUGGAUCAGACUGCUCUACUAGGGCUAACCCUAUGGGUCGUUCUGGAUCAGACUGCUCUACUAGGGCUAACCCUAUGGGUCGUUCUGGAUCAGACUGCUCUACUAGGGCUAACCCUAUGGGUCGUUCUGGAUCAGACUGCUCUACUAGGGCUAACCCUAUGGGUCGUUCUGGAUCAGACUGCUCUACUAGGGCUAACCCUAUGGGUCGUUCUGGAUCACUGCUCUACUAGGGCUAACCCUAUGGGUCGUUCUGGAUCAGACUGCUCUACUAGGGCUAACCCUAUGGGUCGUUCUGGAUCAGACUGCUCUACUAGGGCUAACCCUAUGGGUCGUUCUGGAUCAGACUGCUCUACUAGGGCUAACCCUAUGGGUCGUUCUGGAUCAGACUGCUCUACUAGGGCUAACCCUAUGGGUCGUUCUGGAUCAGACUGCUCUACUAGGGCUAACCCUAUGGGUCGUUCUGGAUCAGACUGCUCUACUAGGGCUAACCCUAUGGGUCAUUCUGGAUCAGACUGCUCUACUAGGGCUAACCCUAUGGGUCGUUUCUGGAUCAGACUGCUCUACUAGGGCUAACCCUAUGGGUCGUUCUGGAUCAGACUGCUCUACUAGGGCUAACACUAUGGGUCGUUCUGGAUCAGACUGCUCUGCUAGGGCUAACCCUAUGGGUCGUUCUGGAUCAGACUGCUCUACUAGGGCUAACACUAUGGGUCGUUCUGGAUCAGACUGCUCUGCUAGGGCUAACCCUAUGGGUCGUUCUGGACCAGACUGCUCUACUAGGGCUAACCCUAUGCCUAUGGGUCGUUCUGGAUCAGACUGCUCUACUAGGGCUAACCCUAUGGGUCGUUCUGGAUCAGACUGCUCUACUAGGGCUAACCCUAUGGGUCGUUCUGGGUCAGACUGCUCUACUAGGGCUAACCCUAUGCGUCGUUCUGGAUCAGACUGCUCUACUAGGGCUAACCCUAUGGGUCGUUCUGGAUCAGACUGCUCUACUAGGGCUAACCCUAUGGGUCGUUCUGGAUCAGACUGCUCUACUAGGGCUAACCCUAUGGGUCGUUCUGGAUCAGACGAGACUACAUCGGGAAUCACCCUAUGGGUCGUUCUGGGUCAGACGAGACUACAUCGGGAAUCACCCUAUGGGUCGUUCUGGGUCAGACGAGGCUACAUUGGGAAUCACCCUGUGGGUCGUUCAUUGGGACUCACCCCACCUGUAUCGUUAUAGGAAUAUUAUAAAAACACAUUUUUACAAUGUAUUUAAUUUACUGUAAUAAAAAACUAUAUUGACCAAA